GUGGUUAUGUCAAGCUCUAAUCAGUUCAAGAAUAGAUUAGACAAACAUUUGGAAAACUGAAUAAUGUUCAAUAAAAGGUUUUAUUACAUUCAAUUAUAUUGUUUCUAUCUACAAUACUGGAUGGUUAGUCCCACAGAGCGCACCUGCUGAACUUGAUACAAACUAAUUUACAGCCAUUGCAAAUAUUUCUUCUCAAAAAUCAAGUUUUUGAAAUAACUUGUUGUAAAUAAUCUUGUAUGUAAAU
Molecule: long non-coding RNA, 244 nt
Organism: Maniola jurtina (meadow brown)
Lineage: Eukaryota; Metazoa; Arthropoda; Insecta; Lepidoptera; Nymphalidae
Exons: 3
Source: RefSeq, a predicted model, not a curated record